ACCUGAAAUACAUAAACGAGCGUGAUGUAAUAUUUUUAUCAUUGAAACAUAUCACGAACGGCGACUUCACCUAGUUUCCAAGCAAACAAAUCUUACACAAGAUGCAUUUUCAAUUUCGCGAUACGAUUUACAUCUCGAAGGCGCUUGGAAUACAAUCGAAGUUCAUAAGUAGCGAGUUGACAAACGAUUUACAUCUCCAAGCUACUUCCGAUGAAGUUACAAACGUACAUAGAGCAUUUCAUUUCCCUUGUUAUUGUGUAAUGAUAUUAUUCGAUAUUUACUUAUAAUUCAUCUCUUCUAAAUUUGCAGUUUACCAGUUUAUAGUUCGUAGUAUCACGAGGAAACAGAAAAUAUUUAGAAAUCACGUAGUAAGUAAAAGCAAAACAAGCAGUUAUAAUACUUGGUAGAUCUUUAUUUAAUCUAUUUUGUAUUCAAUUUGAGGAAAAUUGUCGCAUGCAUGGACAGUCUAGUCAUAAACCACUACUUCCCUGCGGUAUCAAUAAAUUUAAGCAACUUUAAUGUCUUAAGAAUUUAAGUAGUUUUUGAAACGUGAAAAAUCUUAAGCAAAAGUAAAACUGAGAAAACUACUAAUCACUGUAACAAAAGAUGGAAAACAGGUCACGGUGGUAAUUCGAAAGCAGUCAUAAACUAUUUUAGGGAUAAGUAUAUGCGUCUAAUAACCAAGCGUAAAAUUUCUUCCACACUUUGUACAUCUCUGACUUACUAACCCGUGCAACUCAAUUUCUUUUUCGACUCGUUGAUCUGGAUCUAUGGUAUACUAUGUGCACGCAGACUCGUGUUUAAUUUAUUCUUCAAUUCUACCAGGCCAGGAAACAACCAUUCAACGCGCGUGAAAGUGUGUUUCUCUUCUUUCGUAGCAAUUCUACGCAAUUUUUACCGGGAGUAAAAGCGAAGUUAAACGUGACAGCGAAACAUUAAACUUCUUCGUUGCAACGUACAAAGAAAGAAUCGCUAGUGGAUCAGUGGAGCAUAUACGAAGCCGUAAAAAUUACUGGCAUCAAGCAGUCAGUACUGGUGGAAAAUAUAACCCGGUCCGUUAAUGGCACGGCAAAGAAGAUCGCGGUUAUUAUAUUUCUGUGGAAAGGUUUCCUUAGGGGCAUCGUAGCCUGAUCCAAGAAUGCCUACGUUUUUCACCCAGGUAUUAAAUAAACUGUACUAUGACGCUAUUCAAACGAGGACAAUGACUGUUUCAAAGGAUUUACGACCUUACGAACCAAAGUAGAUAAGAUGUAAAAUUUUACACCGAUUUCUACUUAUUUCAGUGGGUAAUGUACUAUUCUUUUGAUGAAAUAUAAAGGCCACGUUCUUUGUGAACGCCCAAUUACUGCGAACGUAAGGAAAAUUUUACAGAUUCGACAUUCCAUUUUAAUUACUUCUUCGCUAAUAAGAUACGUGCGAAGCAUUCUUCGAUAUCAACACGUCAUAAGUAUGUGUUGUAUCGUCGAUGGAAGAGAUAUGUAUAAUGCUUAUGAUGAAAUCAUCAAAGUUUGCUUGUAUGAUUCAACAACCGAAAUAGUCAUCGGUGACAUAUAAAGGAAUAUGUUGAGUGCAGGAUAUUUUCUAGAAUUAUAUCAUUAAAUUCAGGAUUCUUCCUUUCUUUGCAAUAUACUUGAAAAAAUCGUUUACAGUAUACAGUUUGGUAAAUUGGGAUUCUGAAAAUACAGGAUUUUCUACUUUUCACUUGAUGCAUAUAUAUUACAAAGAAAUUUCAUAUGCCAAUCAUAUAAAUGACUUCUGCAGACCGAGAUUCCAGCUACUAACUACGUACAUAUACGUGCGACUAGAUCAACGUGUGUCACCAUGUAACGUAUUAAUUUACAAUCUCGUCGUAUCUCUCCGACCAACAAUAAGUACGUCAAGACCAAGUAUUUUUCUUCUUUCUUUACGAGUUAGUGUAGUUUAAAAUUUCCUAUCGUUUAAUUAGAAGCACAAUAAUAAUGGUGCUGGAAAGUAGCAUUACUCAUAAAGAUAAUCAUUGUUGACAAAUCAAAGAUACAACGAGCAAAAAUCAUUCUACGAUUAAAGUAUCGCGACUUUCUGUUGCGUGUUGAGGCAAAUGAAAUUCAGAAUGUCACGCAACAGAGUAAAAUUUCGCUGUCGCGUACAGAUUGAUCGAAGAAAAAGGUGAAAUUCUCUUCGUCCCUUGUAAAUUAUGAAUAUGCAUUCGUGAAGUGUUUCAAGUCUCCUGCGAUUAAAUAAAUAGAAUUAUGUAUUUACGAUUUAACGAGAUUGCUCUUGAGAUAUAUUUUUCUUUACUAUAAGAAUUCUUUUUAGCAAGUGGUUGCAAACAAUCACGGUGACAGAGAGGGCUUUUACGAUUCACACGAAUGUAAUUAAUAAGACAUGUCGUUAAAUUUUUAAUUAGAAGCUGGACGGCCGUUAAUGGAAGGAAUUAUACGUUUCUCACUAUCAAUCUUCUCUUCGUACUCGUAUGUAAAGAAGUUACGUACGUUUUACAACAUUUGCUGCUGCUUGCAGUCACGGCCAGCGUAUAAUCGAUCAAAGGCGGGUAUUAAGUUUGCUUUUUAUUUUUUUAUGUGUUACGAUAACGAUUCGUGCGACAGGUUGUUACAUAUCAAAAUCGAGCGAUAAAUGUAGACGACUGUUUAUUCGCGGGAAAACGUAUCACGAAAACCACAUCUUAUCGUUUUGGAAAAUUUCUUUUCGAUUUAAGAUUGUCGAAAAGUGAACAUCCUUUUCUACCAACUAAAAUUUCUUCCUGACGUUACGCCAUCAUUUUUCAUCGAAGGAGGUUCAUCUAAAAAAUUACAAGAAAGAGAUAAGACAAAGAAUUUGUCACAAUUUUUUAAUUAAAGGAAAUAACUUCACCGAGUGCAAAAGUUUAAAUAUCCAACGCAGAAAGUUGACGAUUAUCCACAAUAUCUAUAACUUAUAUGUACAAGGAUUUUAUAAAAAUUGGAGUGUAACAAUAGUCGUUAAAUCCACAUAACCAGAAACAAAUUGUGCAAUAGUAAUUGAGAAUUCAGUAUGUACACGAUUCGGUUUGCAGGAGAGGAAAGGGAUCGAGGUAAUUAUCAAUUUCCUGCCUAUCUUUCGGAAAUUAACUCGUUCAAUCAGGGUUCGAUCACUGGAACGACUUUCGAUCGUCAUGAUGUGAAACUCUGCCUGAUUGAAGAUGAUUCCAUAGUAUGUAAAUGCAUACCAUUACGAAAAGGGAUUUCGUUCUAUAAAAGUAAAAGUGAAUACAACGAGAUUGUUAAGAAACGCGAUCACUCGAUAAAGUGAAGGAAGUCUCUCUGUGCAAAUGCGUCGGUUAAAUAGCUGAUUAUUAGUCAACGUCGGCUUUUUUGGAAUCGAAGAUAUCACGGAAAGCAUUUGCAUCCGCAAUCAGAAAAAUAUGAAACCAAUGCAGUCUUUGGUGAGUAUCAUAUCACGAAGUUCUAAAAAUACAUAUAAAAGAACUCCUACAUUUUUCCAGCGAGCUCAUGUUUGGAUAUACAAGUGAGCAGUUCAACUUGCAUACCUCUUCUUCUUUAUUUUAAUCCAGAACAUGAUCGAUGAAUUAUCGGUUCCUUAAAAAUUUCGAUAUGAACCAUAAUUUACAGAUACGGUAGUUGGAUUAUUCCACUCUUUGUCUGUGUAAUUCCAAAGACAUUUGUAUUAAUAAAACGACGCUUUAAGUAUGAUUUGCUUUAAUUUCAGAUAAGCUCUCAACAACAAUGUGUAGCGUUCGUUGCAAUGUUCUGAUAAAUGUGAUGCAAACAUACUUAAGCCAUUUAUCCAGUGAGGUCAUAGCCAAGAGCAGAACAAGACAUUAUGCAAUACUAAAAAUGAUAGAACAAUGCUAACAAUUGCACUAUCUGCAUCCUUUUCCAAAUUAUAUCAUCUCGAUCCGAUUUAUCUGCUUUACCUCUUCUCACGACAAUUUUGUCCAAAAUUUCAAUGAGAUUUAUUCAGAAUGAAAUUUUAAUUUUACAUGUACUUUGAUUUGUAAAUAUCUAACAAGGUGAGAUACUUCUCCGGAUAAAUGUUACAGUAAUUUUAAAUCAUUGAUUAUAGCGACACAAAUGUAUAUGAUGUAUAAGCAAUUAUUUUAUCGUGGAAGAUUAUUUUUAAAACGCAUACUACUUUGAAGGAACUGGUUAAAGUUAAUACAGCUUGCACAAAGAAAUUGAAGUAAAUUACUAAACUUUUUUUCUUGUAUUUCCAUUUUUGUGAAUGAGAACAUAUUUUAUGUUCAGGAGGUUACAAUAUAAGGUUACUAAAACUUA
Long non-coding RNA from Bombus impatiens (common eastern bumble bee), 4253 nucleotides. RefSeq lists it as uncharacterized. The transcript is spliced from 2 exons. The record is from RefSeq and is a predicted model, not a curated record. Lineage: Eukaryota; Metazoa; Arthropoda; Insecta; Hymenoptera; Apidae.